Molecule: long non-coding RNA, 904 nt
Organism: Astatotilapia calliptera (eastern happy)
Lineage: Eukaryota; Metazoa; Chordata; Actinopteri; Cichliformes; Cichlidae
Source: Ensembl
AAGGAAGCAGGAGUGAGCUGAUACACAGUGGGAGCAGUGUUGGGAUUGUAAGUGUGAAGCUGUGUAGGAGAAAUGAGGCUAUUGCUGGCUGUCAGUCUCAUUCUCCUCUUCCUAUGGCUUCACAAGACUCAGACAUCUAGUGUCACCUUGCACAUGAAUGCUCGUGAGGCAGUAUCGAUGAGUGAGGCAGCAGUAUCUCUCCUCUUAUCGCCUCUGUCUCUGUACUCCUGGAUGACCUCCACGUUGCUCAGGUUCCUUCUGUCCGUCCCAGCUCUCGUCUUCAGCUCCUGGUAUCACUCCUUGCUGCUGAUCCUGGCUGGGCCUUGGUGUGUUGCCACUGUCUGCUUCUCUCUGCUGGUGACCGGUCUCCAUGUUUCUCUCUACCUACUUCACCUCGGGCUGGUGGCUGGGGCGGUAGCCAUUUUGGCUGUCAGGCAACACAAGAUGGCUGACGGUGACACCCCCAGGGAGAAAGUAUUAAGCCUACAGAAGAGCGUAGAAGGGCAGCAAACCAAAAGCAGGCUACUAAUUGCCCUUCGAUAGAUUGGCGUCCAGGUUGUACCCGGUGUCUCACCCAAUGAAAGGCCAUGAAUUUGAUAAGCAUAAGAAAAUGGAUGAAUGACAGGAACAUGGCAAAGAAACUACAAAAGCCAAAAAGCUGCUGAGGCGGAGGAUGGGAAAAGACGUUAUGAAGGUGGGACUGAAAAAACAAACAGUCUCUCGAGCUUUCAGUGAGUAAUCUUUGCUUAUUUCACAGGUGAAAAAAAACCCCCUAUGACCAAAUUCUGAUUAGCAAAUUGGAGCACCUUGAACUCAUAAUUUUUUUCCCUGCAAAUGACCAAAAUCAGUUAAUAAUUUAUACGUCCAUUACUAAACUAUCUUAUCUUGGAUUUAUUCUUCAACC